RNAcentral lists this ribosomal RNA (463 nucleotides) under uncultured bacterium. Its description in RNAcentral is "bacterial SSU rRNA". It matches the Rfam family "Bacterial small subunit ribosomal RNA", at positions 47 to 518 of the family's 1533-position model. The record is from RNAcentral.
CCUAACACAUGCAAGUCGAACGGAGUAACGAGAGUUACUUUGGUUACUUAGUGGCGGACGGGUGAGUAAUGCGUGAGCAACCUGCCUUUCAGAGGGGGACAACAGUUGGAAACGACUGCUAAUACCGCAUAACAUACACGGAUGGCAUCAUCUGUGUAUCAAAAGGAGCAAUCCGCUGAAAGAUGGGCUCACGUCUGAUUAGCUGGUUGGCGGGGUAACGGCCCACCCAAGGCGACGAUCAGUAGCCGGACUGAGAGGUUGAACGGCCACAUUGGGACUGAGAUACGGCCCAGACUCCUACGGGAGGUAGCAGUGGGGAAUAUUGGGCAAUGGGCGAAAGCCUCGACCCAGCAACGCCGCGUGAAGGAAGAAGGUCUUCGGAUUGUAAACUUCUUUUAUGAGGGACGAAGGACGUGACGGUACCUCAUGAAUAAGCCACGGCUAACUACGUGCCAGCAGCGGC